RNAcentral lists this ribosomal RNA (278 nucleotides) under uncultured prokaryote. RNAcentral describes it as "partial 16S ribosomal RNA". It matches the Rfam family "Bacterial small subunit ribosomal RNA", at positions 524 to 801 of the family's 1533-position model. The record is from RNAcentral.
CACGGGGGUUGCGAGCGUUGUCCGGAAUUACUAGGCGUAAAGGGCAGGCAGGCGGAUCCAUAAGUUUGUCGUUUAAGGCGUCGGCUUAACCGGCGUAGGGCGGUAGAUACUGUGGAUCUGGAAUGCGGUUGGGGAAGACAGAAUUCCUGGUGUAGCGGUGGAAUGCGCAGAGAUCAGGAGGAAUACCGAAGGCGAAGGCAGUCUUCCAAGCCGUUAUUGACGCUCAACUGCGAAGGUGUGGGUAUCAAACAGGAUUAGAUACCCCUGUAGUCCCUGAG